CGCCGCAAGUCACCCUCGCGGAGAGGGCCCGACUGUCCAGAAUGGUCGGAGUCUCUUGGUCCCUGCUGCGGUUCCCUUGAUCCCUUGGCCCCGCGACCUGCAGCGCUUUCGUGGAAGCCCCGGUAUCGAUUUGGACAAUCACGAUUGAUACUUCCCUGCAGUUGGCCCAGGGGAAGACCUAUGGGAGGAACCAAGAAGAGGAGAUGGAAGGGGAGGAGGAGAAAUUUGGACACAGACACAGAGGGAAGACAUCACAAAGGCACAGUAAGAAGAGGGCCACUGACAAGCCAAGGAGAGAGACCCUUCCCUCACAGCCCUCAGAAGAAAUCAACCUGCCAACACCUUGAUUUGGGACUUGAGUCCCAGAACUGAGUGACAAUGAAAUUCCAGUUGUUUAAGCCACCCAAUCUGUGGUAUUUUGUAAUGGAAGCCCUAGCAAAGUAAUACAACACCUUUAUAAGUAGUCUCUUCAUUUAAUAAUGUUUAAUUAUCUUGUUUCACUGUGUUAUCUGUUUCCUGUUGAAACUGGGUUGACUUAGGUCUAUAACUAUCGACUUAUCUAUGCCUUAUUUACUUCAGAUUUUUUUUUCUUCUGUUAAGAAAUUGACUGCUGCAGGGGCACCUGAGUGGCUCAGUAGUUUAAGGAUCUAACUCUUGGUUUUGGCUCAGGUCAUGAUCUCAGGGUCAUUGGAUUGAAUGUUGGGAGUGGCUCAGCACUCAGUGCAGAGUCUGCCUGAGAUUCUCUCUCUCCUUCUCUUCUGCCCUUCCCCC
Long non-coding RNA from Canis lupus familiaris (dog), 771 nucleotides. RefSeq lists it as uncharacterized. The record is from RefSeq and is a predicted model, not a curated record. NCBI's taxonomy places the organism in Eukaryota, Metazoa, Chordata, Mammalia, Carnivora, Canidae. The transcript is spliced from 3 exons.